UACGUAGGGUGCGAGCGUUUAAUCGGAAUUACUGGGCGUAAAGAGUGCGUAGGCGGUUCUUGAAGUCCGCUGUGGAAAGCCCCGGGCUUAACCUGGGAAUGGCAGUGGAAACUGGAGGACUUGAAUUGAGCAGAGGGGGGUGGAAUGCCGCGUGUAGCAGUGAAAUGCGUAGAGAUGCGGCGGAACACCGAUGGCGAAGGCAGCCCCCUGGGCUUAAAUUGACGCUGAGGCACGAAAGCGUGGGAGC
This 247-nucleotide ribosomal RNA is filed under the name uncultured bacterium. Its description in RNAcentral is "partial 16S ribosomal RNA". It matches the Rfam family "Bacterial small subunit ribosomal RNA", at positions 524 to 769 of the family's 1533-position model. The record is from RNAcentral.